RNAcentral lists this unclassified non-coding RNA (357 nucleotides) under Centruroides sculpturatus (bark scorpion). RNAcentral describes it as "beta-neurotoxin Css9-like, transcript variant X1". The record is from RNAcentral. Lineage: Eukaryota; Metazoa; Arthropoda; Arachnida; Scorpiones; Buthidae.
UCAUCUCUAGUCGAAAUUUCAAGAGAGAAUUGAAGACAAGAAUGAAACUUUUGAUUUUAAUCGUCGCUUCUCUGCUGAUAAUAGGAGUCCAGAGUAAGGAUGCGUAUGGGAAAAGAAAAGACGGAAAUGCAAUUCCUUGUUUAUUGGAUAGUAGCUAUUGUAAUAAGGAGUGCGUUCAACUGAAGGCGAAGUCGGGGUACUGCUAUUUUUUGGCUAUGUCAUGCUAUUGUCAGGGACUUCCCGACGACAAAGCUUAAUACAAAGCAACUAGUAAAUUUAGAGUUUGAAACGAUGUCGCAAUUGUUUUUCAGUUUGAUGCAAUUGUAGUCUUAUAAAAUAAAAUUACAUAUCACUGCA